UCAGGUUUGUAAUCAUAGAAUUGUGUGUAGUUAUGAUUAUGACAUAUUCAGCUGUUUGCAAAGUAACCUUGAAGACAGUAUCCCUUUGCAAAGUGUCUUCAGUCUUAUAACUGUUCGGUAAUAUGGGGUUGUACAAAACCAGUGAUGGUAAUCUUGCAGCCAAAGUAGAUUAGACUGCAGCAUAAAUUGAUGAAGGUUCAGCCAUGACAUUGAAUCAUAAUAGUUGGCGAAUUAUGUAGGCCAUUAGGUGAUUUAUUUAAUUACAGAUGCUAUGCAAAUAAUCUGUAAGGAAGAAGAUAUAUAUGGAAGGAAAAGUCAUUCAGAAAUAUGGAUGAAGAGACUGCAAUCUCCACAGACGUUGACAGAGCUUAUUUCUUCAGAAUUAUCAACCAUUCUUGACUAUAAAUUGACUUCUCUUAUGUUUAUUUUAUAUUUGGUAAUAUUUUCCAUUAUUUUCCAAUUUCAUUUAUUUGGAUAAUAUAAUGCAACAGAAUUUUGAAUUUUGCUCAAUUUUUGCUUUAACUUCAUUAUUUAUGACUAGAUUGUCUGCAAUCUUGGGCACAGUAAUCCAUCAGAAAAAAACAUCAAGGAAGGUUUAUUUGAACUUUACC
Molecule: long non-coding RNA, 611 nt
Organism: Ruditapes philippinarum (Manila clam)
Lineage: Eukaryota; Metazoa; Mollusca; Bivalvia; Venerida; Veneridae
Exons: 3
Source: RefSeq, a predicted model, not a curated record